Molecule: long non-coding RNA, 9765 nt
Organism: Dromaius novaehollandiae (emu)
Lineage: Eukaryota; Metazoa; Chordata; Aves; Casuariiformes; Dromaiidae
Exons: 3
Source: RefSeq, a predicted model, not a curated record
AUGGCAGGGGCGGGGCGGGGGGGGACAGGCAGAAAAGCUCCUUUGGCUCCUUAUGGCAAGCUCAGUUUCUUCACCCAAAGGAGACCUAACUGCAGGGUUUUUGCAUAUAUUCUGGGUGAUUAUGAUAGCAACCUCUGGAGAAAGGAAAGCAAUUAAUUAAAGUGAGGAAGCCGCGACGUCAGCUGCGUGCUGCUUUGCAAAGUCUGCAGCAAACGUAACAGGUGCCGGGGCAGAUCGCGGCGUCCUUGGCCGGCUUCCUCCCGGCUAUAUCUGGCCGGCAAACCUGAUCCGCAGUUAAAAAUUGCCUCUCUGAGGGGCGGCGCGCUGCCGAGCUGCGGGCCCCGGGGUGCUCUCCCAGCUGUGCCGUGCUCCCCGGCCUGGGGCUUCAGGCCUUGUGCAUGGGCACGCGUGUUUUCAAAGCAGCCAAGGGAAGGAAAAGCAAUUAGGAAAGCUCUGCCUUAUCCUAAUUAGAGCCAGUAUCGGAGCUGCAUUAGAGCUGUUAUCUCAAGUUUUCCAACGCUGUUCCCCAAUGGGCUGGGAAUGUGUCUCCGCUUCUCGUUCUUUUUCCCUGCUUUUCUCCCUCCUCCCAGUGACACUGUUUGACAGGCUUUGAGCUCCAGGACACUCCUGGGGUUUGUAUUUACCUUUGGAGUUGCAACAUUUUAAAUCUAGUUGGAAUGUCUCGAUGUUUUCAAUAUUUAUAGCUCAUUAAUUCAUACAAUGAGAUCCUUCUGCGCUUCUUUACCCAGCGUUUAAUGAGGAGGGGUUGCCAGAAUCUCUGUCCCUGUCUCCUGGUGUCUAUCUCACAGGUUUUCUAUUGAAUUAACUCAAGGUAUGCAUUGACUAAACAUCUUCAGAGUCGCUGGACAAACAGACUAUGUAAUGUUCAUAAAUUAAUGCAAAUCAGCUUCAAAUAUGUCAAACUAGCUCCCCUAGGAAUCCCUGGACCUCAGCAUAUUGUGACAGUUCUUGUUGAAGCAAAUCUGGAUCUUUCAGCGCAAAUAAUGGGAGUGCUUUCAUCCUGAGCAGUAUUACCAGUGAGACUAAUGUGCCAUUCUCCUUCUUAAAACUAUAGUCUCAUCAGAUAUAAAUUAAACCAUUGGGAGUGCAGGAAAAGAAAAUGUGAGUGGUAUUUGCAUGUAUUGUCCCUCCUUUUCAUCUGCCACAGGAAUCUCAUUGUGGUGCCUUUUUAAUGACAAUACUGCUAUUACAGUGAAUGAUUAAACAGUUGCAGCCUUUCAUAUUCUGGGCUUUCAGAUUUGGAGAUUCUGUUACACGUGUAAAAUAUUUGCAUGCAUUUGAGAUAUAAUUAAUUAUGUAUUGCUUGAAAGCCUCAUAUCACACACUGCAAAUCUCACAGGUUUCCUCCCAUGGAUAUUUCCAUAUCCCUGAAGGGACUGAUUCAACUGACGGUUGUUGCUAAUCGAUGAUUGUCUGUGAGGUGGCUUUUGAACAUGUUUACAGGUGACUUUACCUACAGUAAAGGCACUGUCAAGUGCCACCGCCUGCUCAGCUUGCUGCUUGCGGGAGGCUGCAAACCCCGGGAGCUUCUGUGGCCGCUGGUGGCCAGGGUUUGCCUUUUAGUCCCCACUAGUGACGACCACUCGGGCGCAGAUCUUGUUCUCCCUGACUCGGUGCUCCCAUGCUGCCGGGGUGCAGAUGUGCUAUUUAUUAUUUCCACCAUUACUGGAAGAGCCAAGUGUGUGAUUGUUAUUCACAAGGGCAGCACCUCGCUAUUAUUUGCGCUGAAAAAAGCAAGCAUUACCACUCAAAUACACUACUGCCCCAACACAUCUCCCUAACUAAACAUGCUCAUCCUGUUCCAAGAUGGUAGAUUUUGUUGCAGAUAGGAGAUGUUCACAUUCUUUCCUUGAAGUUCGUCUCCUCCACAUAUCAAAAAAUGUUAACAAAUGGGCAUAAUAUAUGCCCUGGGGAGCAGGCAAAGCUGCUUUUCUUUUUCUUGGCUGGCUUAAUUCAUUCUGGAAUUGUGUGACUUUUCAUCUUGCAUUUGAAGGAAAAGGCAAACUUGCAGUGUAAAAGUAGCAUGAUAAAUUGUGGAAAAAUAACUUGCUGGCUUUCUUAAGAAACUUUCUCCUCCAGCUCCUCCUCUCGCUGUACUCCUUCCAGCGCCCCAGAAUUCAUUGCAUCAGUGCAUGUUAUGGCACCUUUGGGAUGCGUUAGUCAUAAGCAUGGAGCUACUGGUGCUUUGCAGGCAUAUUUUAACUCUGGCUCUCACACGAAUGCUCUGACACAUCCGUGCUGUCUGCACGUCUGGGUAGCGUUUGCUUGCGGGCGUCUCCUGAGAUUCCAGGCAGCUCAAAAAAGGAAACAUCUAAUUUAUAUUCGCUAAGGUAUGCGUGAGGUCCUUUUGUUAUUCUUUGGUGGUGGUGAGGGCUUUUGAGUACAGCGUUAAUGUGGGAUGAAGGCAAGACCGAUGGCUCAAAUGGGAACUUGGGCCUUCUGCUGCAAUGUCCCCCCUGCAGUCCUGGCCUCUUGCUGCUCAAUGCUGCAGGGUGGCUAGAGACAGCGCAGAGGCUGCGUUAGUUUGGCCAGUCUUGCUCCUGUGCCCCUCGGUACUAUUUUCUGUGGUGUGGUUUGUCCGGAGGGUCCACGCAUCCCUGCCUCGGGCUGUGGCGGCAGCAUCGUCCGGCCUCUUGGCACGCCGGCCACCGCAUCGCGCUCCUGGUGAUGCUUCCCUCCCUAAUGGUCAACGGGCAUCAGGGACUGAACAAAUGCAGCCGCCAGGAAUUUGCACUGGCAUCGGGAGAAAUCAUAAUAUCUGCCUUAGCCUAACUGCUGUUGUGACGCACCAAAUUGCCUGUGUAAUUCUGCGCUUUGUGCAGAAGAUCUGAAAUGGACUGGAUCUGAGCCUGCCUCUUCUUCCUUUGAAUUCAUCCAGAUCUCCGAAUUCAUCUGGGCUGCUGUGAGGAAAUCUGGCAGCAUGAAGUCACCUUUAUAUGUCCUGGAUGUAUUUCAUCACGCUGAUGUAAGGACUGAUGUCACCAGUGUCAAUAUCGUAUUUAUGAAGGUGGAGAUCAAUACUAGAUUUAAGAUCCAUUGACAGAAUUAUAGCUCUGACUGCAUUUGCCCUUCUUUGGCUGACUGGGAGCCAGAGGGGUUUUUCCAUGUCAUUCAGUUAAAGGAGUUUCCACUGACUGGCUUUCUCCUCUCACUACACACACCACAGCAACAACAGUCAUUAUCAUAACAAAAAAACCCUCCAUGGAAAUAGUAAAAAUUUAUGAAACAAAUCUCCGAAGAACAAAACAUCGAGCUAGCAAAGAAACUGAAUGCGAGAAAACAGCCAAUGAAUAUUGUGAAAAAUUGAUGAGCAGAGUCGAAAUGAAUAAACAAGCAGCAUCUUCUUAAUUAGGUAUUGUUAUAAUGCUACUCCUCUGGUUUAAAAUGCUAACGUUUAUAUCCAUCCAGAAUUUUGGCAAUCAGAUAACGGUGGGUUCAGGCAUUUGAGCUCUCUGAUGUUCUCUUUGUGACACAAAAAUUAUGCACACUUUUUCCAGGAAAAAUUAUCAGUAUUUUAUUCCAGGCCGUUUAACAAAUCAAAGCUGUCACUAUAGUCGGGAGAAACAUUCAUCGGCUAUCCACACUAUCCUCCUGCUAUGGCUCGGAGGGCGCGGACUUUCAAAUUCAUUGCCAGAGACUCACUGGAGCGCUACUUUCUGCCCAAAAAGCACUGAAAGGAGAGAGGGAAAAGCUCGAAGGAAAAGCAUUCAGACAAGAGGCAGGCAUGCCUGCAGGAAAGGAGCUCGGGGAGCGAGCAAGCGUGGCGAUAAGGCUUAUGCUGGAGUCAUGGGGUCUCUCCAGGCUGCGGCUAUUUCUUUACUACGUCUGUGCAAUGCAGAGCACAAUGGGGCUUCUUUCCUGACAGGGGCCUUUCGGAACAGCAUUAAUAUAUGUGUGUAGGAAGAAAUAAUAUUUUGUAUUAAAAUACCUUUAUCUGGCAGGAUAUGCAUGUGCCUAUGCAGAAAACAACAGAAGAGAUAUGAUCUGCCUGAACAGAGCACUGGGGAACGAGGCAAACACUCCAGUCGAGCUUUGCCGUGCGGUCUUGCUCGAGCCACUUCCUCUCCCUAUGCCCCGUUUCUCCUCCAGUCCUCUGUCUGUCUUCCAUACUUAACUCUUAAAUUGGUCAAGACAGACUUUAUCCCCCUGUGUUUAAGCAGGCACCUACAGCUUAAGCUCUCUUGAGGCUUCUGGGUGCUGCCAUAUAAUAAAACCUUUAACACCUUAAUCACUGAUUUGUUUCCAGAAGCAGACUGAAGGCUUUAAAUUUUCCUGCUGAAAGUUUACACAUGCAUACAUAUAUAUAUAUAUAUUUAUAUAUAGGCUUCAUGCUCACCAUCUGAAAGUCCAUCACCCUCACUAAUUUGUCAGCCUCCUGUUAACUUUCUGACUCUCCCAAGCAAUUUGGGACACUCAAACACUCACAGGUGGCAGCAUUUCUUCCUGAACCCAUGAUGACAGUCGUAACUUCCUCUUAGCCUGAAGAUCUUUCUUAUGCUCCUAAUCUUUCUGAAACCAUCAUUUCUUAUCCAAAGCCGCUUAAGCAGUUGGAGUGUAACGUUCAUUUCCAGGCAGUAUGUCCACAAACUUGUGUAAGGACUGUUUUGCAAACUGAGCUGGCUAUAAUCUGGAGUAAAAUUAAACCUUAAUCUCUGUGUCCUGAAGGAAAGAUUUGUCACUGCCCAACAAACAUGUAUCUUAAUAAAAACAUUAAUUCCUGUGAAGCACAAAUCCAUUCAUAUCCAGUGGCUUAAAAGGAUGUGCCUAUGCACGUGGGAACUUUGGAUUUUCCUUCAUCUGAAUCAGUUUGUUGCUGUUAAGACAGGCUUAAACCUAAGCACCAGGAACUCUUAAAGAAGAUGCGUCAUUAUCAGGACCUAAAUCACACAAGCACCUCCAGACCGCGAAGGGGCUCCCGGUGUCAGUGCCAUGGGGUGAGAGCGAGCUCCUGCCCGAGCCGCAGGCAAAGGGCAGCUCCUCGCCCCCCUCCCUAGAACAGGAUCUAAGUUGCAGAUGAAUUAAAGGCUCUUUUUCUUGUGUGACACCGGACCGUAGCAGAGGUUAGAAAUCAACCUAGGUCUCCUGAGUCACUGCCCUGUGCACUAACCACAAGAUUUUUUGUCCUCUCCAUUUCUCAACUGCUAGUAAUUAUGCUUAGAAAUGUUCUGGAAGCCAAAACAAACAAGCUAGAUGUUUCCAGUGAGCUUUCAGUUUGUUAUUAAUCCUUCAAAGACAGUUUUGUCCACAAGGAAACACAGAAAGUUAUCAUGUUGCUAAGCCCACUUCUCUGCUUUGCAUGUUUGUGGCAUCAUUUCUCUCUGAUGAGCGAAUUUGCGUACAAGCUGACAUCUCUCCCCUUGGACCGGAUAUUCUCCCUCUCACAUGAUGGGGAAAACAAAUUCCAUGCUGAAUCAGAACCCAGCCUGCACAACUAAUAUGAUCUGGAUUCAUUUCAAACAACAAGGAUUUUGGUCACUCAAGGCCUACCUCAGAACUGACUGGAAGUAAUUUUGUGUGUAUUUUUUUUCCCACCAUACUACGAAGUGCUACCUCAUGAGCAUAGCAUCCUGGAAUGACAGUAAAACUCUUCAAAAAUAUCAGAUUUUUUUUCUUCAGAUUUCCUAUUGCUUAUCUCUAAUUUUAAAAAGAAUCUAUAAUAAAUAGGCAUUUAGUGGGUUUCUCUACAUUACAUUAAAUUUACAUGGAUGUGAAAAUUCUAGCACCUACACGUCCUACAGUGACUCACUGGAAUGUGCUUAUCACAGAUGGAUCUAUUAAAGAAAGUCAUCCUUAUUGGUACUUAGACCUUGCCUUUUUCCUUGGAGCCUAUUCAUGCAUGACCUCAUAAAGCUUCCCAAGAGUUGGAUGAAGACUAGGUGCAGUGUCCUCCUAAUUAGUAUACUAUCUCACUUUGCAUCAUAUUUUACAAUCAGCAGACAUUAUCUGGGCAAUCUAAUUGAAGCAAAACUGAUGGGAAUAUUUCAAUUCUGUUAUUGACUUUUCUUCUCCAGCUUUGCAAUCAAUUCCUGUUGCCGCAGGCGGGCUGCCGUGGCAGGGACAGACUAGCUGUGCUCCAUCACAAACGCCAGCCGAAGCCCAAGCUGCCUUGUAAGACUUUUGGAGGCCUACUCUGUGUCAUUUGGCAGCUCUGCCGCUGCUGCUGCUACUCCUGAUGCUGGUGUGGCAAUGUAACAUGCUCAGGAAUUGAUAUCCUUUACUGCAGAAGCAUAACACAAUCUCAAACCUCAUGGUCGCAGUUCAAGUACAGCCACGGACAGCGAUGUUAGGGGAGCGCUGGCUCUCUGUCAGGCUCUGCUGGCCUGAAGAGUGAGGUGAGCAUGUUUUCCAAAGAAUGACUAAGGCAGCUGCAAGAUAUAGGUUUCACUUUAUCAGUCCCUCAAGGAGAAAACAACUUUGCUUGCCAUUAAAGUCUGCCUGGAAGCUGCGAUAACUGUCCUGAAAAAUUAAAGGAUGGAAAUGGAAUUUCUGUAAAGUGUGUUCCAGUUCACCGCUCAGAAGCUGAAGCACCAAAGGGGAAGAAUAGCUGCUCCAAAUAUAUAGCCAUAAUCUGGGCAGAACCUUGCAAAAAAGUGACAUGCAAAACCUUGUGGAUCACGUGCAGACUUGAGUUGUCUCUUGGUCCACCACAUUAAGAGAGAGCAAGACUGCGAGAACAAAUACAAUCUGCAGGAGGUGCUCCUAGGAAAAAUAAUGCUGUAUUACGCAAUUUAUCUUGCUAGUGUUACUUCCUGUCUCCUUGCCUUGUCUUGGUGCUUUGCCCAACAAAGCUAUCGUCCACUGUAAAUGCAGUGGAGUAUGUCAAAAAGUAGCAAUGAGGAUUUAUGCAGGUAGAUUGCCAUUUGUUGACCACUGCUAAUGAUCAUAGCUGUCUGGGAGAAUGAGGAUGCAUGCGGCUGUGUCUGUCUGCUUGUGGUUCUUUUGAAAAAUUUUGACAGCGACUGCAAAAUGUCUCAACAGCCUUCGGCUCACCCAUCACUACUCACUGCCUCCAUUUGUGAUUCAGGUACGUCUUACAGGUAACAUUUUAACCAGAACAAUUAUCCUUUGCUGAAUUAGCAGAAGGGAGCAAGGUUUGUUUCAAGUCUGGCACUUGCUAUAACCGGGAUCAGGGCCAUGCGAUAGGCCCAGUUUGGCUGAACUGCCUUUAAAAAUCAUAGCCUGUUGCUAAAAUGGCCCCAGCCCUACCUACCUUACACUCCUUGCCACACACCCCUGCUGCAGACAUUUGUAAGAUGCCUCAGUAAUUCUCAGAUAUCAUCAUUAUACCAAAGCUAUGAAGAAUUCCACGGUCCCACAUGAAAUUGUACUUGGAAUGCAAACUAGAACUACUGGGCAAGACAAAUUAAUUAGCUGUAUUCUUGCUAGUAUUUUAUGGAGCUCUCUGUGCUCCAGGGAUCUCACUGUACCUUCUGAGGCUUCAGAAGGACACAAAAUCAUAUUGUCCCAAGCCUGCAUUGUCCCUGCAAUAUAUCCCUUCAAGUCCCUGCAGCAUACAUACGGGUAAUCAUUGGAAGGCAUAAUUAAUUGGCAUAGUUGGCAGGCCCUGCAGAUGCAACUGAUAAAAGUGGACUCAGGAAGACGUUGUGUAUCCUCCUCUGCAUGUGAUCAGACUUGUUCUCCAAAGCAGGUCUAGGUCUAGCAGGAACUCAGUUUCAGAGCUAAGGGCUUCCACUUCUGAAAACAUCCUAUCCUCAACACAACUGAGUUUCACUAUAUAGAGAUUUUGGUAGUAUUUUUCAUGGGUGGUGGCUGAAAUCAGAGACAGUUUUAAGAAGACAGGGUGAAAAUUAAGGUAAUGCACCAGAUGUGACUGGAUAGUUAUCCUGCAUCUGGGCCAUCCUUAUCCUCCAUCUCUCAUCCUUGAACCCAGGAUUUUCCUUUAAUGUUACUGCAGUUCUUCCCCUUUAUGUAUUUUGAAGCCCCUCCAAAAUUGGAAAAUUGUGAUCACGGCUGAAUUUACACCAAAGAAAAUUAACAUAGGGAUCUAGCAGCUUUGCCAAGGACACUGUGUACAUAUGCUCAUAUAGGGUGCUUAUAGUUCUGGCAUCUCUCAUCACUUCUCAAGGUGGAGCCCCCACCAGUGUAACAACAAAGGUGUUAGAUUUUUUUGUUAAAUUAGCAUUUGAUAUUGUAAAAUAAACUGUAUAGAAAUGGCAUCCAGAUUAAGAUGUAGCAGUGCUUCUCAGGAAUGAUCAGUGUUGGAGUCUGUAUCAUCUCACCAUGUACUCAUCAAGGUAUGGAGGCCUGAUGUGUGGGGAAAGAUGCAUAUUGAGCAGCCUGCUACCAACAUAUCUGAAACCUCUGGUCUAAAAUCUGAACCUAGACUUACUGCAGCUGAAUUACAAUCAACUCCUAAAAUCACUACAAAGGCUUUUGGAUAUAGCAAAACAUUCAGUGGCUGUGAGGGUUAUGUUACACCUUGUGACUGAGAAAACGUCCGGUAGCAGUCAGUUAGUCACGCCGUCUAUAACGUAAUUACAGAUUCACAAAUCCAGAGUAUGUUUUGGAUUUGCUCCACAGACACUGGGUAAUUGCUACCCAGAGAUCCAAGGCUUUUCAAGGAUUUAUAGGGCUGGCAUGUGGUAUAGCCUGUGGAAAAACAGCAGAUCAGGCAUGAUAUAACAGGUAUGGGACUGUAUAUUAAUUUCCGCAGAAGCCCUUGUGGGUAAACUGAUGCAAGACCAAACUGAGCAUCAACUAGCAAUUGUGCCAUAAGUGAACACUUGCUGAUCGGUGUUCAUGCUUAGGCUAAAGGUUUCUUUGCAGGGUCAGCUAGGAUGAGAUCAUUAGUAUUCUUUGAGGAACGCCUAAUUGUACCCACAGGAGUUCUGUGGGAAGAAAAAAUGAUCACUUAUUAAGUAAAAGUGCUAAAAGAUUUUACCGAUUGCCUGCUGACAAAUCAGUGGAACAUCUGAGUAUUUGUCUCUGGUGCAACUCUAUCAAGACCAGCAAAACCACAGCAGAGUUGGACCUAUUUUGUCCCACUGCCUUUUGAGCCAUUCAGUAUUUUCUGAAUUCUUCCCUCUCUCAUUUUUCAUAUUUGCUAUGAGUUUCUCAGCAGGCAGUGGAGACAAGGUACAUGCUGAGUGAUCAUCCUGUCCAGUUUUCCACAUCUGACACUUUAAAAAAAAUAUAGGUAGAGAGGAAAGAAUGGUUUGCAGUGAAUGAUAACAGCUCUGCCUGUUGCUACCACAGGACAUCUUUGAUGUGAGGAUGGUACUGUUAACAAACACAUGCUAAUUGCUGUUCAAUGACAUGCUGGGAAAGUAGGCAACUUUGGUGGCAACAGCCCAUUCGAGCAAAGGGAUUGGACAGGAGCACGCUGAAAAUCAGUGGCAGAGCAGGAACGGAGUCCAAGCGAGGCCUAAGCAAGUCUUUUGUGCUGCCGUCUGCCUUGCUCCGGGGGCUGCUGGGCUGUCAUGGCUUACCUGGGCUGAGUUUCAAGUUGACCUCGCCUGAUUCAUGGGCUGGAUGGAGACCUAUAAAACCUGCGGCAAUUCUGCGUGGGGGUUCGCUGUGAAACUCAGCGAAACUGUGGAGCUCCAGCUGAGCUUUGUCCUGAUUUUUCUGAAACUCGGAUAAAUGUAAACCAAAAGCCUCAGCCCAAAUACUGCCAAAUUAUGGGGAAUGCGCCAAAUGGAGAGUAUUUUUAAAUAUCUUUCCCUGUUUUGUGGCUUCUGGGAUGGGCAUAGAGAUAGUAUGCAAUAAACAAAGGAAUACAGA